This 510-nucleotide ribosomal RNA is filed under the name uncultured Pseudomonadota bacterium. RNAcentral's name for it is "bacterial SSU rRNA". It matches the Rfam family "Bacterial small subunit ribosomal RNA", at positions 394 to 896 of the family's 1533-position model. The record is from RNAcentral. Lineage: Bacteria; Pseudomonadati; Pseudomonadota.
CGGCCGCGUGAGUGAUGAAGGCCUUCGGGUUGUAAAGCUCUGUGGGGCGAGACGAAUAAGUGCAGCCUAAUACGCUGCAUGAUGACGGUAUCGCCUUAGCAAGCACCGGCUAACUCUGUGCCAGCAGCCGCGGUAAGACAGAGGGUGCAAACGUUGUUCGGAAUUACUGGGCGUAAAGCGAGUGUAGGCGGUCUACUAAGUCGGGUGUGAAAGCCCCGGGCUCAACCCGGGAAGUGCACUCGAAACUGGCAGGCUAGAGUAUCGGAGAGGUUGGUGGAAUUCUCGGUGUAGAGGUGAAAUUCGUAGAUAUCGAGAGGAACACCGGUGGCGAAGGCGGCCAACUGGACGAAUACUGACGCUGAGACUCGAAAGCGUGGGGAGCAAACAGGAUUAGAUACCCUGGUAGUCCACGCCGUAAACGAUGGGUGCUAGGUGUCGCGGGCUUUGACUCCCGCGGUGCCGUAGCUAACGCAUUAAGCACCCCGCCUGGGAAGUACGGCCGCAAGGACU